UACGUAGGGUGCAAGCGUUAAUCGGAAUUACUGGGCGUAAAGCGUGCGCAGGCGGUUUUGUAAGCCAGAUGUGAAAUCCCCGGGCUCAACCUGGGAAUGGCAUUUGGGACUGCAAGGCUGGAGUGCGGCAGAGGAGACUGGAAUUCCUGGUGUAGCAGUGAAAUGCGUAGAUAUCAGGAGGAAUACCGAUGGCGAAGGCAGGUCUCUGGGCCGACACUGACGCUCAUGCACGAAAGCGUGGGGAGCAAACAGG
This 253-nucleotide ribosomal RNA is filed under the name uncultured bacterium. Its description in RNAcentral is "partial 16S ribosomal RNA". It matches the Rfam family "Bacterial small subunit ribosomal RNA", at positions 524 to 776 of the family's 1533-position model. The record is from RNAcentral.